This is a long non-coding RNA of Capra hircus (goat), 1317 nucleotides long. RefSeq lists it as uncharacterized. The record is from RefSeq and is a predicted model, not a curated record. The transcript has 3 exons. Lineage: Eukaryota; Metazoa; Chordata; Mammalia; Artiodactyla; Bovidae.
GAAACCAAAAUUCAAACGUAGGUGAUGUGUAAGACUCCAUAAGCUCCCUACCCAGGUCCUUGGUCAUCCAGAGGUCACCCCGAGAAUCACAUAUGGCUGAUGACUUCCUGUAUUUCUGCACAGGGGUGUCCUCUGAUCCUCUGAGGGUUGAGCAAGUUAAUGCCCUCAACCAGGAAAUUGAUGAGACAGGCAGAGGGAGACCUACACAUGGAGAGAAGGGAGUGAAUUGAUGACAGAGCAGAGAAAGACUGAAGAUGCUGGACUUGGAUGCUGGAGUGAUGCAGCCACAGCCCAGGAAGGCCAGUGGGCACUAGAGCUGGAACAUAUGAGGAACCAGUUCCAUCCCCAGAGCCCUCAGAGGGAGAAGAACCCUGCUCACACCUUGGUUUGCAUCCGGUGAUACAGAUUUCAGAUUUCUGACCUCUGGAACCUUGAGAGAAUCUAUUUCUGUUGUUUUAAGCCACCAGCUUUGUGGCACUUUGUUACAGAAUCUGCAGAAACCAAAACACAAGCUAAGAUCACUUUGUUUGCAGACAGGCUGACGCAGAUGGUGAGAGACCACGGCACCGGAUAUGAAGGUGAUACAACGUUGGAGGUAAGAGUGAAAGUGGUCCCCAAGCUGAGAUGAGUUAGUUCAAUAGCUUGGCACUUUAUGAUGUUUUUUUUUUUUUUUUUUUUUGCUGCACUGCACAGCAUGUGGGAUCUAAUUUCCCCCAUGAGGGACUGAACCAAUGCCCCUAGCGUUGGAAGCUCAGAAUCUUAACCACUGGACCCCAGAGAAGUCCCUCAAUAGCUUGGAACUUUAGAAUAAAGCUAAGAUGAAACAGAUGAGAGAGAAGGUUAGAUUUUCAGAAGAACCCAUUGCCAAGCACACAAUGGGUUGAGAAGUUCUGGCCAGGUAGUAAUUUCUUUGGAAAGGAGCUCAGGGCUCUAUUUGUCAAGAGUAUUUGUCUAUACUGUUGACAUUCAUUCAUGCUACACUGUCUCUCUUUUUUUUUUUUUUUUAGAAGAACAGGAUUUGGGACGCUUUGUGGGAGGGCAGUGUCCAGUUCUUGGGGGGCUUGGGGGGAGAUCCUAGGCACUGACUGCUGGUUGGAAUGUCUGGGAUAACCGUUACAUUUUUAACACUUCUUUCCUUUUUUUACAAUGAGGGGCAGGAAGUAAGGAAUCAGGAAACAAGUGUGCUGGGUCAUUGACCCUGUCCAUCCUCUCCCUUCCACCACUCUGCAUCGUGCCCCUCACCCCUUCAAACUUUACCACCCAGAACAUGAAGCUACAUAACACCAUGUAAUGUGUAAUAAAAUAGAGUCGCCUAAA